RNAcentral lists this ribosomal RNA (398 nucleotides) under uncultured Anaplasma sp. RNAcentral's name for it is "bacterial SSU rRNA". It matches the Rfam family "Bacterial small subunit ribosomal RNA", at positions 8 to 414 of the family's 1533-position model. Lineage: Bacteria; Pseudomonadati; Pseudomonadota; Alphaproteobacteria; Rickettsiales; Anaplasmataceae. The record is from RNAcentral.
AGAGUUUGAUCCUGGCUCAGAACGAACGCUGGCGGCAAGCUUAACACAUGCAAGUCGAACGGAUUAUUCUUUAUAGCUUGCUAUAAAGAAUAGUUAGUGGCAGACGGGUGAGUAAUGCAUAGGAAUCUACCUAGUAGUAUGGGAUAGCCACUAGAAAUGGUGGGUAAUACUGUAUAAUCCCUGCGGGGGAAAGAUUUAUCGCUAUUAGAUGAGCCUAUGUUAGAUUAGCUAGUUGGUAGGGUAAAGGCCUACCAAGGCGAUGAUCUAUAGCUGGUCUGAGAGGAUGAUCAGCCACACUGGAACUGAGAUACGGUCCAGACUCCUACGGGAGGCAGCAGUGGGGAAUAUUGGACAAUGGGCGCAAGCCUGAUCCAGCUAUGCCGCGUGAGUGAGGAAGG